AGCCACCUUCGGGUGGUGGAAAGUGGCAGACGGGUGAGUAACGCGUGGGAACGUGCCUUUCGGUUCGGGAUAACCCAGGGAAACUUGGGCUAAUACCGGAUACGCCCUUCGGGGGAAAGAUUUAUUGCCGAAAGAUCGGCCCGCGUCGGAUUAGCUAGUUGGUGGGGUAAAAGCCUACCAAGGCGACGAUCCGUAGCUGGUCUGAGAGGAUGAUCAGCCACACUGGGACUGAGACACGGCCCAGACUCCUACGGGAGGCAGCAGUGGGGAAUAUUGCACAAUGGGCGAAAGCCUGAUGCAGCCAUGCCGCGUGGGUGAAGAAGGCCUUAGGG
This 332-nucleotide ribosomal RNA is filed under the name uncultured bacterium. RNAcentral describes it as "bacterial SSU rRNA". It matches the Rfam family "Bacterial small subunit ribosomal RNA", at positions 72 to 422 of the family's 1533-position model. The record is from RNAcentral.